GUUCAACCCAAAAAGAUUGAGGUCAAUGACGGAAGCAUGCGCACGUGAGGUGACCACGCCCCUCUUUCCAUGCCCUGAAGCAGCGCGGCAUUUUGUUCAUCUUCUGCCUGCAGCGAGCGACUUCAAUUUACUCUCGUUUUUCCAGUCUUACCAAGCUACCUUUGGCAACCUCUUAGUGAUUGAUUAUGAAUGUGGACGUGUAAGGAGUGCAGUUUGGAGUUAGCUACCAGUCUUUGCAGCAGUUGCUCUCCCAUGAAGACGUGUCUGAACAUCUCAAAAUUCAGAAUACGCAAGACCAGAUAUUAGCUAGUUUCCAAGAAUACAGAACUGCAAGAGAUGGUCAGUACUUUAAACAAAAUCAUUUUCUGUCCAGUGAAGGUUUGAGAAUAGCAUUAAAUCUUUACGUUGAUGAUUUUGAAAUUUGCAAUCCACUUGGCACGUCUCGGAAGAAGCACAAACUUUGCGCUGUCUAUUGGGUUUUGGGUAAUUUGCCACCAGGUUCCACCUCAAGACUCACUUCGAUCUAUUUAGCUCUUCUGUGCAAAUCGGAUGAUUUAAAAGUCUAUGGGUAUGACAAAGUGUUUGAGCCUCUCUUGCAAGAGUUGAAGACAUUAGAGCAGCACGGUGUUUUUCUUUCUCAGCUGGGCCAGUUUGUUAAAGGUUCUGUACAGUGUGUAAUAGCCGACAAUCUUGGAGCCCAUGGGAUAGCUGGAUUCGUUGAGAGUUUUUCUUGGGGGUCAGUCUGCAGGUUUUGUACAGGGGACAAAUCGGAAUUUCAGACUAAAGAUGUCAAGUCGGGUGCUUUUCAACUUCGAACCAGAGAUGUCCAUGAUGUUCAUGUCCAGUCAGCUCAGGAGAGUGAAACCAUCUGCCAUGGUGUCAAAAGACAGUGUGUUUUAACCAAGCACCUUUCACAUUUUCAUAUUAGCACUGGUUAUCCACCUGACGUUUUACAUGAUCUCUUUGAAGGUGUUGUGCCAGUGGAACUUGCUCGCUGUAUUUCUGUGUUGAUCUCCAAAAAAUAUUUUACUUUCAAUCACCUCAACACAUUGAUCCAGACAUUUCCGUACAAAUGGGGGGACAAAACGAAUCGCCCCCAUGCUAUACCACAGUCUUUCACUUCACGCAACAGUAUAGGUGGCAAUGCACACGAAAAUUGGAAUGUACUGAGACUGCUUCCAUUCAUUAUUGGACAAAUUGUGCCAGAAAAUGAGCCAGCAUGGCAGGUAAUUCUUCAUCUGAAGGACAUAGUUGAGUUGGUUGUGGCACCUGUUCACACGGAAGAGACAGUUGCAUAUUUAGAGGUCAAAAUCUUCGAUCACAGACAGCACUUUCUUGAACUCUUUCCACACGUUAAACUCCUUCCAAAACAUUACUACCUAGAGCACUAUCCUCAUAUGAUACGUUGCUUCGGACCUCUAAUUUCACUGUGGACGAUGAGAUUUGAGGCUAAACAUAGCUUCUUUAAACAAGUUGCCCGCCAUACAAACUGCUUUAAGAACAUACCUCGUUCACUAGCUAUUAAACACCAGUUCAUGCUCUCCUAUCACACUCAUUCCUCCAUUCUUAAGAGGUCCCCCUUGGAGGUCACAGAUGUUUCACAUAUACCCGUUGAUAUCCUUAAUGAGGGAGUUGUGUCUGUACUGAAGCAGAGAUACCCAGAUACGACUGAGAUUAAUGUGGCAAAGAAUGUGUCCUGCAGAGGUAUACAUUAUAGUGAGGGGAUGCAUAUUGUACAUGGAUCUGCAGAUGGACUGCCUGCAUUUCACAAGAUCAGUCAACUGUGCAUUCUUAAAGAGCAGUUGUGUUUUCUUGUAAAGGAAGAAUGUGCCUGGUAUAGGGAACAUUUUGGUGCAUUUGAACUUUCUGCUUCAACCACUACAGAGGUUGGCCUCAUUGAGCUUGGUAACGUGGAAGACCCAUAUCCCC
Molecule: long non-coding RNA, 1929 nt
Organism: Gadus morhua (Atlantic cod)
Lineage: Eukaryota; Metazoa; Chordata; Actinopteri; Gadiformes; Gadidae
Source: Ensembl